Molecule: transfer RNA, 67 nt
Filed under: marine eukaryotic metagenome
Rfam family: tRNA
About the family: Transfer RNA (tRNA) molecules are approximately 80 nucleotides in length. Their secondary structure includes four short double-helical elements and three loops (D, anti-codon, and T loops). Further hydrogen bonds mediate the characteristic L-shaped molecular structure. tRNAs have two regions of fundamental functional importance: the anti-codon, which is responsible for specific mRNA codon recognition, and the 3' end, to which the tRNAs corresponding amino acid is attached (by aminoacyl-tRNA synthetases). tRNAs cope with the degeneracy of the genetic code in two manners: having more than one tRNA (with a specific anti-codon) for a particular amino acid; and 'wobble' base-pairing, i.e. permitting non-standard base-pairing at the 3rd anti-codon position.
Source: RNAcentral
GGUAUGGCGCAGUCAGGUAGCGCGCUUGGCUUGGAUCCAAGAUGUCGUAGGUUCAAAUCCUACUACC